GAUGAACGCUGGCGGCGUGCCUAAUACAUGCAAGUCGAGCGAACAGACGAGGAGCUUGCUCCUCUGACGUUAGCGGCGGACGGGUGAGUAACACGUGGAUAACCUACCUAUAAGACUGGGAUAACUUCGGGAAACCGGAGCUAAUACCGGAUAAUAUAUUGAACCGCAUGGUUCAAUAGUGAAAGACGGUUUUGCUGUCACUUCUCGAUGGAUCCGCGCCGCAUUAGCUAGUUGGUAAGGUAACGGCUUACCAAGGCAACGAUGCGUAGCCGACCUGAGAGGGUGAUCGGCCACCCUGGAACUGAGACACGGUCCAGACUCCUACGGGAGGCAGCAGUAGGGAAUCUUCCGCAAUGGGCGAAAGCCUGACGGAGCAACGCCGCGUGAGUGAUGAAGGUCUUCGGAUCGUAAAACUCUGUUAUUAGGGAAGAACAAAUGUGGAAGUAAAUAUGCACGUCUUGACGGUACCUAAUCAGAAAGCCACGGCUAACUACGUG
Molecule: ribosomal RNA, 497 nt
Filed under: uncultured bacterium
Lineage: Bacteria
Description: partial 16S ribosomal RNA
Rfam family: Bacterial small subunit ribosomal RNA
Source: RNAcentral